This 253-nucleotide ribosomal RNA is filed under the name uncultured bacterium. Its description in RNAcentral is "partial 16S ribosomal RNA". It matches the Rfam family "Bacterial small subunit ribosomal RNA", at positions 524 to 776 of the family's 1533-position model. The record is from RNAcentral.
UACGGAGGGUGCAAGCGUUAUCCGGAUUCACUGGGUUUAAAGGGUGCGUAGGUGGGCAAGUAAGUCAGUGGUGAAAUCUCCGGGCUUAACCCGGAAACUGCCAUUGAUACUAUAGGUCUUGAAUUAUCUGGAGGUAAGCGGAAUAUGUCAUGUAGCGGUGAAAUGCUUAGAUAUGACAUAGAACACCAAUUGCGAAGGCAGCUUACUACGGAUCGAUUGACACUGAGGCACGAAAGCGUGGGGAUCAAACAGG